Molecule: unclassified non-coding RNA, 869 nt
Filed under: Hevea brasiliensis (rubber tree)
Lineage: Eukaryota; Viridiplantae; Streptophyta; Magnoliopsida; Malpighiales; Euphorbiaceae
Source: RNAcentral
GCAGUUUGUCUUUUGAUUGUUGACUUGAUAUGAAUCUGAAGUCAAGGGCCUGCUUCUGGUGCAAGGAGUUAGAUAUCAUGUAGGUUGUUGCAAAUUUACCGUUAAAUAUGCCUGCGCACACUUGAGAACGUGGAACUUGUUUCUGCAUCUUGAAUUAGUGAUUUGAUGCUAAAUGUGAUGCUUUACUCCUAAAAUUGCAUAUAUGAAAUAUGAGGCCAUCUUAGCUUUGGACUCUAGUGCCUAGAUUGCUUGUAUUGAACUUCCUUAAACUGUAGAGGAUAGAGAUAUAACUUUUUUCCAAUUAUGUGAUGGUAGUUUUAGAAGUUAGAAUCUAUUAGGAUUGCAUCUCUCUUGAUUCUUGCCGUUUGAAUUCAAUCUUUUUGUAUUAGCACCUUAUUUGGAACCUACCAUGUUUGAGUAUAUUCAAAAUGGGGAUGCAUAGUUCAGGCUUAUGUCAACCUGAGGCUGAGGGAUGGAUUUUAAAUUUUUAACAACUGUGAGAAUUAAUCUUAUUGUUUUAGUCUCUCCUCUUGAUUACAAGUUAAAUGCUGGGUUCUUUAAGUUUUUUUACCCCCUUUGCUUUUUUACUGACAUGAAGUUAAAACUUUCACUUUCCCCUUUGCUUUUUUAGGACUCAUGAAGUUAAAACUUCCAAGUCCACCUUUUUUAUUUGUAAAAAGUGGGUCAUUCAAAGCUUUAAUUAGAUGAUUCACAAGGAAACAAAGGAUUAUAGGAUUGGUGGGUAAAGAAAAUUCCUUACUUGCACUUACAUUUUUCUUUCCUCAUUGUUAAAAUGUAAUGUAGAGUACAAUAAUGAGAAUUAAUUCAGUGCAACUGUUGUAUACAUUUUGAUCAUUGAUUAUGAUGGG